CUCACCCCCCACCCCCCAACAGGCUCUGGUGUUUGUGUUUCCCCUCUUUGUGUCCAUGUAUUCUCAUUGUACAACUCCUAGUAGCAAGAGGUAAUGCAGUUAUAGUCAUUUUUCUAAGUGUAAACUGAUUGGUUAUAAUAUAAUAUAUAUUUUACUGUCAUUGUCCUUCUGUGUAAAGUGUACAGGGCUUUUGUAUUAAUAUAAAGUGAAAGAAGAGAGAAAUAAGAGAUUAGAUAAUCAGGCAGAUCCCGAAUUUCUACAUUUCUACUCUGGAUUGAGAGGAACAAAGUAUGUUUGGGGAAAUGAGGAGAGGAGUAAGCGCAUACAGUGGUUUAGCAUUCUCCUCCAGCUUCUGGAAAUUACGAAAAGAAUCCACAUUUCAAGCUUCUCUAUGUUAAUCUAGGAUGCAAUCCAGAUGAGAUUAGACUAAGGUAGAGU
RNAcentral lists this long non-coding RNA (438 nucleotides) under Pan troglodytes (chimpanzee). RNAcentral's name for it is "long non-coding RNA NONPTRT012566". The record is from RNAcentral. Lineage: Eukaryota; Metazoa; Chordata; Mammalia; Primates; Hominidae.